Molecule: long non-coding RNA, 444 nt
Filed under: Helianthus annuus (common sunflower)
Lineage: Eukaryota; Viridiplantae; Streptophyta; Magnoliopsida; Asterales; Asteraceae
Description: sRNA HanXRQr2_Chr03g0091451
Source: RNAcentral
UCUCUCCUCUCUCUAUAAUUCGGUCCAUACCCCCCCCCCCUCUCCACAACUGAUUUCCAUCACCAUCAUCACCUUCACAUCUCCAUCUUCUUCCACUAAAAGCUCUCUUGCAAGUUGUGAAGAUCCUCCAUAGAAGUGUGAAGUUGGAGUGCUCUCAAGAAGCCUUGUUCAAGCUUUUCUCACCAUCAUUCUUUAUCAUCUCAUCCUAAGAUUUCAACCCUAGCCUUGUGCUAGUAUCGAGAAAAUGAUUUUCUAUAAAAUAUGGGUAGUCGUGUUUGCUGAGGAGAUUUGGGUUACGAGUACCGAAGACGCAAUACUGCUAUUAUCGUAAGACCAUUAAUCCUUGUAUAAGGACCGAGAGGCAUGAGUGAUAGAUCUAUUGGGUGUUGCGAGCCCCACACAUGGGCCAGCGUGUGGCUGCAUGUGGUGACUAUGUCGUUCCGC